AUUGAACGCUGGCGGAAUGCUUUACACAUGCAAGUCGAACGGCAGCACGGACUUCGGUCUGGUGGCGAGUGGCGAACGGGUGAGUAAUGUAUCGGAACGUGCCCAGUCGUGGGGGAUAACGUAGUGAAAAUUACGCUAAUACCGCAUACGAUCUAUGGAUGAAAGCGGGGGAUCGCAAGACCUCGCGCGAUUGGAGCGGCCGACAUCAGAUUAGGUAGUUGGUGGGGUAAAGGCCCACCAAGCCAACGAUCUGUAGCUGGUCUGAGAGGACGAGCAGCCACACUGGAACUGAGACACGGUCCAGACUCCUACGGGAGGCAGCAGUGGGGAAUUUUGGACAAUGGGCGAAAGCCUGAUCCAGCCAUUCCGCGUGCAGGAUGAAGGCCCUCGGGUUGUAAACUGCUUUUGUACAGAACGAAAAGGUUUCUACUAAUACUAGGAGCUCAUGACGGUACUGUAAGAAUAAGCACCGGCUAACUACGUGCCAGCCGCCGCAGUAA
Molecule: ribosomal RNA, 500 nt
Filed under: uncultured bacterium
Lineage: Bacteria
Description: partial 16S ribosomal RNA
Rfam family: Bacterial small subunit ribosomal RNA
Source: RNAcentral